GAAGGUAUAGCUCAGUGGUAGAGUGUGUGCUUAGCAUGCACGAGGUCCUGGGUUCAAUCCCCAGUACCUCUG
Molecule: transfer RNA, 72 nt
Filed under: Camelus bactrianus (Bactrian camel)
Lineage: Eukaryota; Metazoa; Chordata; Mammalia; Artiodactyla; Camelidae
Also listed under: 1 other name
Rfam family: tRNA
About the family: Transfer RNA (tRNA) molecules are approximately 80 nucleotides in length. Their secondary structure includes four short double-helical elements and three loops (D, anti-codon, and T loops). Further hydrogen bonds mediate the characteristic L-shaped molecular structure. tRNAs have two regions of fundamental functional importance: the anti-codon, which is responsible for specific mRNA codon recognition, and the 3' end, to which the tRNAs corresponding amino acid is attached (by aminoacyl-tRNA synthetases). tRNAs cope with the degeneracy of the genetic code in two manners: having more than one tRNA (with a specific anti-codon) for a particular amino acid; and 'wobble' base-pairing, i.e. permitting non-standard base-pairing at the 3rd anti-codon position.
Source: Rfam by way of RNAcentral